This 464-nucleotide ribosomal RNA is filed under the name uncultured bacterium. RNAcentral's name for it is "bacterial SSU rRNA". It matches the Rfam family "Bacterial small subunit ribosomal RNA", at positions 28 to 469 of the family's 1533-position model. The record is from RNAcentral.
GACGAACGCNGGCGGCGUGCCUAAUACAUGCAAGUAGAACGCACAGUUUAUACCGUAGCUUGCUACACCAUAAACUGUGAGUUGCGAACGGGUGAGUAACGCGUAGGUAACCUGCCUGGUAGCGGGGGAUAACUAUUGGAAACGAUAGCUAAUACCGCAUAAUAUUGAUUAUUGCAUGAUAAUUGAUUGAAAGAUGCUAUUGCAUCACUACCAGAUGGACCUGCGUUGUAUUAGCUAGUAGGUGAGGUAACGGCUCACCUAGGCGACGAUACAUAGCCGACCUGAGAGGGUGAUCGGCCACACUGGGACUGAGACACGGCCCAGACUCCUACGGGAGGCAGCAGUAGGGAAUCUUCGGCAAUGGACGAAAGUCUGACCGAGCAACGCCGCGUGAGUGAAGAAGGUUUUCGGAUCGUAAAGCUCUGUUGUAAGAGAAGAACGGGUGUGAGAGNGGAAANUCACAC